Metopolophium dirhodum (rose-grain aphid) is the source of this 880-nucleotide long non-coding RNA. RefSeq lists it as uncharacterized. The transcript is spliced from 4 exons. Lineage: Eukaryota; Metazoa; Arthropoda; Insecta; Hemiptera; Aphididae. The record is from RefSeq and is a predicted model, not a curated record.
GUUAUUAUUAUAUUUUGCUGAUGAAAAUGUGUUUAUGGACAGGUACCUCAACUCGACGUUGCUGUAUGUCCGGUCCAAUAAUAACAAUGGCGUAUCAAACGUCGCUCCCAAACCGCGCGGUCGACAUCCAUCUGCAUAACUCAUUCCGCAAGAAUGAGUGGUAUAGUUUGAAAACUUACCAAAGUUAUCUGGUGGAUGUCGAUACGUUGGUGAGCAGCCGUCGCACAUAGGUCUGAUGUACCUAUGGAAAGUUAUUAUUGGAUCGGUCAUAAUAUUACGCUGAGAAGUUAUGUGUCCAUAAACUUAUUUUCAGAUUUUUAGGCCAAUUCCGUUGCCAUUUUUUAAUCAUUCUUUGUUUUUAUUAAGGUUGAGGUGUAACAGCAUUUUAGGGGCUAUUGUAAUUCCCACUUCCAGGACUUUAUCAUACAUACAGCCGACAGCACGAUGACCUACAUUUUUGUGUAUUCUGGUCUACACUAUGAUGGCAGCGAAAGUAACGAUCACGUCACCGUUUAUCAGAUUGCCCAGUUUGAAAGAGUCUCCAACAAUUUCAUCGGAUAUGUACGCCAUAAACCGUGGCAUAGCGCUGGGCCAGCAUCAUUUUGUCCGGAUCAAUAUCUAAAAAAAUGGCGUCCCAAUUAUUAGAAGCUAAUAAUAUAGUGUCUUUGUCGAACAGUCAGCUGUACGAAGUUUCCGCUGUGCCACAAAACGGGUCGACGCCGAUCGCUGAACAUGGGAAGUCCUCAAGUCCACCCAGCAUCGUAUUGAUGAAUCAACAAUACAUCUUACAUCUUACAUCUAUCAUUGCAAUCUUAUAAUUAUUCACCUGAAUGCAUGUAAUCCUGAAUGUACAGUUACUUUAUUACUACCCAUCUACAAA